Molecule: long non-coding RNA, 672 nt
Organism: Sapajus apella (tufted capuchin)
Lineage: Eukaryota; Metazoa; Chordata; Mammalia; Primates; Cebidae
Exons: 2
Source: RefSeq, a predicted model, not a curated record
CCUUGCUGAACUUAGUUCUUUUGUAAAUUUCUUGGCAUUUACUACAUACAUCAUUAUGUCACCUACAAAUGACAUGUGCCUUUUAUUUCCUUUUCUUGUCUUUUCAUACAGGCUAGACCAUCUAGUACUAUGUUAAAUAGCAGUGGUGAAGGUAUACCCUUGUCUUGUUCUUGUUCUUAAACAGAAAGCAUUCAGUCUUUCACAAACUGCUGAAUCUCCCCAUGACUUCUCUCAGAGCAACCAGACUCUUUAAUGCAUGCAUAAGACCAUAAUCCAAUGUCUAUAAUCCAAGGUCAAGACUGCUUCAGACGUUAGUCUCAGUUACAAACAGCUCCAGAAGUGCUUAAAAGCAAAAUUUUGGUGCCAGUGACCUGGUUCCUAACUCUGAUUUAAUGACUUAUUAGACACCUGACUAUGAACUAGUCAGUUAACUCUUCUAAUCCCUUCACUUAUAAAAUGCUUAGUACAUGGCCUGGCACACAGAAAGCAAUCAAUAAAUUUUAGCUUGAGGGGCAGAACAAGAUGGGUGAAUAGUGGGCUUCACCAAUCGUCCUCCUCUGCAUGAACACCAAUUUGAAAACUAUCUACACAAACGAAGCACCUUCAUAUUUUAAGUUGGUGCAAAAGUAAUUUUGCUUUUCACCAACAAUCAGGUGAGCACUCACAGUGCCU